This 279-nucleotide ribosomal RNA is filed under the name uncultured bacterium. RNAcentral's name for it is "partial 16S ribosomal RNA". It matches the Rfam family "Bacterial small subunit ribosomal RNA", at positions 506 to 784 of the family's 1533-position model. The record is from RNAcentral.
UGCCAGCCGCCGCGGUAAUACGGAGGGUGCAAGCGUUGUCCGGAUUUACUGGGUGUAAAGGGCGCGCAGGCGGAUUUGUCAGUCAGGGGUGAAAUCCUACAGCUUAACUGUAGAACUGCCUUUGAUACUGCAAAUCUUGAGUUCGGAAGGGAGAGGCGGAAUUCCAGGUGUAGUGGUGAAAUACGUAGAUAUCUGGAAGAACACCAGAGGCGAAGGCGGUCUCUUGGUCCGAAACUGACGCUGAGGCGCGAAAGCCAGGGGAGCGAACGGGAUUAGAUA